UGGUGGCCAUUUCCCUGGGCAGUAGCCUUAUAGUCUGCCUCUGUAGGACAUCAUGUGACCUUCAAGGGCCUUUGACAUUUGGCUAGCAGAUAUUGGGAGUAAAAUGGCUACUUUGUCUCCCAGUACAGGAACAUGUAAUUUAGCCUUUUGAUUAUAUACUUUUGUUGUCUAUCUUAGGCUCCGAGUAAAUGCUCCUACCUCACCACUCCCAGCGAUUGUUGUUGUUUGGAGAGCAUAUUGAGCUGUGUGUUUGGACCUUUCUCGCAGUGUUCCAAGGCAACAUUAAUUCAGUGAAACGGGUAACAGCACUUGGAAUCGGGUUACUGGGGACAAAACAAAACAGCGCUCUAAACAGAGCAAGGCGCAGGUGUAAGGAGUCGCUAUGGAUACUCCCAGUCACCUGAUGCUGUCCUGCCCUCAUGCCCAGCAUGGAGCUCCAUGCUUGAUGAAACAAAGCCUAAAGGAAUGUGUGCUCUGCUGUGUACAGGAGGGAGAUGAGGGCAUGGAGGUAAAGCAAGCAUAGAGGCAGCCUCCAGUGCUCACUGAGCUUGCAGUGCUUCAUUACCUGAGAUCAGUCAGACAUGCUGCAGAGCUCCAAGCCUCAUAAUUAAAAGCCAUCCGUAGCACACCAAGAUGCAUCGGCGCGGAGCUGAUGUUGCCGGUGGUAACAAGAAAUGUACUGAAAGCUGAGAAAAUGCGGGUUUCAUGAUUCCUCCUUAUGAGGAAGAUCCAAUGAACCCUAAUGUCCUGCAAUGGACACCCAACACCAAGAUAUUCAGAAACUCUUACUGGGUUUAUUCAGAACCUUUUAUUGGAUUUAUUCAGAACCUUUACACCAACAUUAGAUAUGGUGCAGGAGUACUCUGCUCUCUCAAGCCAAACAUGCCAAUGAGGAUCACUCUUUCAGACAGGAAGUUAGGAAUUAUGAUCUCUCAGGAAGAUAGGACAUUGGUCUGUAUCUGUGUCACAGGUUAACAGGAGUACAAUGAUGCCGUAUCUAUAAAGAUAUUCAAAGAAAAUGAUUAUUUUUAACAUAUAAUUUCAGGAUUUUUUACGUAUCUCACGAUUCUCAAGACCUUAAGAUCUUCAGCUACAUUGCCCGGGAUGGAGCCAGCAAUUCAUUCAGGUGUAACGUGUUCAAGUCCAAGAAAAAGACCCAGGCCAUGCGCAUCGUGCGGACGGUGGGUCAGGCCUUUGAGGUUUGCCACAAGCUCAGCCUGCAACACGCGCAGCAGGGCACCGGCGGCCAGGCGGACGGCACCAGCGACAAGUCGGCGGAGGAGACUUUGCGGGAUGACUGUCAGCUGACUGGGGCAGAGCCAGACAAAGCAGCCAGCAAAGGGGAGGAAUGCCAGACGGGGGCGCUGUGCGAGCAGGCCGUCAGUGACAUCCUCCAGAGCCUCGCAGAACUCAACGUCGUAAAAUCCAGCUAUUUCCUUCCUGACAAAAACU
Paramormyrops kingsleyae is the source of this 1452-nucleotide non-coding RNA. The record is from RefSeq and is a predicted model, not a curated record. NCBI's taxonomy places the organism in Eukaryota, Metazoa, Chordata, Actinopteri, Osteoglossiformes, Mormyridae.